Poecile atricapillus (Black-capped chickadee) is the source of this 1617-nucleotide long non-coding RNA. RefSeq lists it as uncharacterized. The transcript has 3 exons. NCBI's taxonomy places the organism in Eukaryota, Metazoa, Chordata, Aves, Passeriformes, Paridae. The record is from RefSeq and is a predicted model, not a curated record.
GCACGUCUGUGCUUGCACAGAAGUAUCCCACGUCGGUGCAAAAUGGGCCCGUGGAUUCCUCCAUCCCUCCUGGGUAUUUCAAUUAAAAGCCGAGAAGGAAGUCCAAGAAAAUGCCUAAAAUGGCUUGAGUCCUUCCUCACGAUCUGGAAAUGGAAGUCUGCGGUGACUAACUCCAGCCCAGCCACCAAACCCCUCCCUCCCCGACUCUGCAUUGCUCUGCUCAUUCCCAGCUCCUCUCCCGCGUUUGCAAACAGUCGGCAGUGGAAACGGUGAAGCAGCCUGGCUUCGAGCGCCAGCUCCACACGAGCGGUAUGCGACUGCAGCCCAUGCCGGUGCCUAACCUAGGAAGAAGUGGUUAAAAUCUGACGAGGGCAAGGCUUGAUUAUAAGCAAAGGAAUGACUUUAAAAGAGGCUGCCGCCACGCCUGCAAACAAAGCCCGAUUAAAUCCUUCCAUGGACUUAAACUGGCUUCAAAACAGGCCUCUAACAGCUUCUCCAGUUUAAAUAAAAAUUAAAAUGCUUGUUUGUAAUUUCUAAGCCAGUUCAGAUGAUGCCUUCUGAUUUUCUUACAAAGCUAACAGCAAUAUCCGUAAAGAACAAAAUUAGCUAACUGAAAGCUGCAUCCCUUACCCACUCAGAGCUGGUAAUAUGAGCUUAUGUGAGCUUUUUUUUCUUUUUCUUUUUCUUUUUUUUCCCUGCUCAUUCUGUUGUGGUUAUGCAUUUGACCUGAAUUUGAAGGCAUCAGUCCUGAAAGAAGAGUUGCCUGGGCACUGGGAGCUCAUGCUCUGAUAGUGGGUUACUCCAUGGGCAUCAGCCCAGUGCCUUCUCUGUUCACUCACAUCAUUUGACAAGCAUGAAGUCUCAGCUCUUCUGCUCAAAUUUUAACCAUCUAGGUGUAAAUACUGAGUGAUUUUGUGUGAUUUCAACUGUUCAUUUCCUUCUACCACCCAUCCACCUCACGUAAAAGUCCAUCGAGACUUGUUUUUGUGUGUUACCUAUCCCACAGGAGUGUGUGAUCUCUCCUGGUAUCCAAGAACAGUGACAAUGCAAAAAAAAAACCCAAUAGAAUGGGAUGCUUGUCUCCCCAUUACUGUAUUAUUCAAAAUCUUACAGUUCAAAAUCUUACCUUCUCUUUCAGUUUAAUUCAGUCACAACUUUUUCCCUAAGGACUCAAAAGAGUCAGAGCUUUCUGUGCUCAUGACUGAAGGCUAAGGGAGGAUAAAUAAUCCACUGUGGGGUCCAGGAUGCCUUGUUCACUCCUCUUUGGUUGUGAACCACGGAGAAAGAUAUCCUUGAAAUGUUUGACUGCUUCUGAGACAAAGCCCUCCUUGCCCUUCAUUCAGCAAUAUGGGAAUCUUUGGGAGACCAAACAUGGCUGGAGAUGAGUUUAUUCACAGGGUGUAUGAGGUCUUGGCUGGAGAGAUGCAGAGCUGAGCUGCUGGCAUAUGCCCUACCCAAAUUUACUCCUGCCCUCAGUAUUCCUCCAAGGGGAUUUUUCCCACAAGCACACCUGGUCACCCAUUCAUACCAAUAGAAAACCAAGAAGAGAUGGAAUCGAUUCAUUAAAACAAAGCAGGACAUUGCAUGAGAAUGGGCCACAGCCUGUCUGGAGCUGAG